RNAcentral lists this ribosomal RNA (472 nucleotides) under uncultured bacterium. Its description in RNAcentral is "SSU rRNA". It matches the Rfam family "Bacterial small subunit ribosomal RNA", at positions 26 to 518 of the family's 1533-position model. The record is from RNAcentral.
AGGACGAACGCUGGCGGCGUGCUUAACACAUGCAAGUCGAGCGGAAAGGCCCUUCGGGGUACUCGAGCGGCGAACGGGUGAGUAACACGUGAGCAAUCUGCCCUUAGCUUCGGGAUAGCUCCGGGAAACCGGAAUUAAUACCGAAUAUGACUUCGGCCGACAUCGGCCUUGGUGGAAAGUUUUUCGGCUAGGGAUGAACUCGCGGCCUAUCAGCUUGUUGGUGGGGUAAUGGCCUACCAAGGCGACGACGGGUAGCCGGCCUGAGAGGGCGACCGGCCACACUGGGACUGAGACACGGCCCAGACUCCUACGGGAGGCAGCAGUGGGGAAUAUUGCGCAAUGGGCGAAAGCCUGACGCAGCGACGCCGCGUGGGGGAUGAAGGCCUUCGGGUUGUAACCCCUUUCAGCAGGGACGAAGCGAAGUGACGGUACCUGCAGAAGAAGCGCCGGCUAACUACGUGCCAGCAGCCGC